Long non-coding RNA from Scophthalmus maximus (turbot), 1468 nucleotides. RefSeq lists it as uncharacterized. The record is from RefSeq and is a predicted model, not a curated record. Lineage: Eukaryota; Metazoa; Chordata; Actinopteri; Pleuronectiformes; Scophthalmidae. The transcript is spliced from 3 exons.
ACCUCCAAACCGAUCGUACAGUUAAAUCACCUGCUCUUGUAAAAAACUGAGCAUCACUAUGAUUUGUGUUAGAUUGGACUGCGUUUGGGUUUAGCUAGCUGUUCCCAAUGAACUGACACCUGCUAAAAGAGAGGUUUUGACGAACAAUGAUAAAUUAAAAAAAAGGGCGUUUAGCUUCUCACCUGCUGAAGUCUUUGUCCACCUCGUACUCGUACCUCAUCCACGUGUUCGUGUACACGAAGAACUCCAGGAAGGCGAGCACGGCCAUGAGACAGAAGGCGAUCAGCGACACUGCGGAGGGAACAGACUCGAGUCACUGCGGUGCACAGGGGAGUCACUCCGCGACGGUCGGCCGAGUGCGGUCACGGCUGUCCGUGCUCUACCUGUGCCGCCGCUGGCCGUGGACUCCACGUAGCUGUCGGGGACUUUGGGGAAGGCGUCCAGCUCCUUCACCAGGGUCAGAGCCUUCUUCUUGGUCAGCCUCCUCAUGUCGGGAGCAGCGUAGCUUCAGAUACAGAGUCAGGCCCUUCGUCCCGUAGGACGCCCGGCUCUAGGACGUCGGAGGUGGGCGUGUCAGGCGGCUCUUGAGAGAGAUCUUCAGAGCAUCUGCUCACAGUGGUAGGUGAGGUCCAGGAAGGAGAAGACCGGGGAGCGGCUGGACCCUGGGCUGAGCUCACUAUCAGAGCCGUCGUCCGACAGGUUGCUGUAGCUGGGAGACUGAGCCGGAGAUGCACUGGAGGUGGUGCUGUGAGCGUCUGAAUCUGGUUUGCAGAGGGGAUGAUUAGCUGUUACACAAUCUUUGAGGAACAAAUGAGUUAAUGCCAUUUAACAUGUAUAACAUUUUAUAAUUGAAUGCUAAAAAACUCACUGUUUCUUUUGAGCUCUUUCUGCAGUCUGCGGAUCUGGCUCGGCCGUGCUUUCUUAGAGAUGGACUUUAUUUUCUUGGGCCUGGAAGUGAUCUUUAAGCUGGGACCUCCCCUUGCAUCCACCACCUGUGUGGAGGAGAGAAUAUGAGAGGGUAGGAGGAAUGAGGCUGGCAUUAUUCAAGUAUUGUAUCAUGACCAAGCAUCAUUCAACCAUAAUAUCAAUACAGCGAUUCACACUCACGUGGUUCCAGUUCUUCUUGGUUCCCACAGGCAACUUUUUCCAUCGUUUCACCAGGAGCACACAGGCGUUGCAGAUUUCUCCGGAUCGCGUUUCACUCAAUCUGUAAGACAACCACACAUUGUCAGGGUUUCCUGUCAAUAAUUAUGAUUAAGUCAACACACAGAUGCUCAGGUGUGUCACCUACCCGAAACAGCUCCUGAACUCUUUCUCAUACCGCUUGCUGUCCGUGAAACGAGAGCUUGAGGACUUUGCACGGCAGAUGCAGCAGCCGUCCAAACUCCUGUACAUCUUCGGCUUGUGAAAGCCAAACAUCUGCGUCCAAAAAACAAACAAACAAACAAAUAAAUAAAAUGCAAAAAUA